GCAGUCGGUCGGUUUGUCGCAACACAUUUAGGUGUGUUGAGGAAAGUCCGGGCAACAAAGAGCACCAUAUUUCCUAACAGGAAGCUAUUUGCGAAGGUAGAGCAACGUAGCAGAAAAUAACCGCCACCAUCCUUUGAAUAAGGAAGGAGGUAAGGGUGAAAAGGUGAGGUAAGAGCUCACCGGGUUUUGCAGCAAUGCAGAACGCUGUACGUCUUAUGGGUUGCAAGGUCAUGUAUAUCGGAUAUGUAGGGUUGCUCGCCCGAUGCCGAGGGGUGGACCGCUAAAGAGUAAUGGUGACAUUGCUCGCAGACAAAUGACAAACAUUUUCUUUUGUUAGAAAAUACAGAACCCGGCUUAUAGAUCGACUGCUUUU
This 373-nucleotide RNase P RNA is filed under the name Bacteroidales bacterium. Its description in RNAcentral is "RNase P RNA component class A". It matches the Rfam family "Bacterial RNase P class A". From Rfam's summary of the family: Ribonuclease P (RNase P) is a ubiquitous endoribonuclease, found in archaea, bacteria and eukarya as well as chloroplasts and mitochondria. Its best characterised activity is the generation of mature 5'-ends of tRNAs by cleaving the 5'-leader elements of precursor-tRNAs. Lineage: Bacteria; Pseudomonadati; Bacteroidota; Bacteroidia; Bacteroidales. The record is from RNAcentral.